AGUGGUUGUUGGGUGAUGCACCCCGGAAUUGGGCUCCCUUCUCUCUGGUUCUGGGUGUGUAACCUGAGAACUGCA
This is a non-coding RNA of Myotis brandtii (Brandt's bat), 75 nucleotides long. The record is from Rfam. Lineage: Eukaryota; Metazoa; Chordata; Mammalia; Chiroptera; Vespertilionidae.